Molecule: long non-coding RNA, 150 nt
Organism: Rhagoletis zephyria (snowberry fruit fly)
Lineage: Eukaryota; Metazoa; Arthropoda; Insecta; Diptera; Tephritidae
Source: RefSeq, a predicted model, not a curated record
UUGAAAUAAAUUGCUCUAAAGGCCCGUCCACAUACAGCUUUGGCGUUGCGUCGGCGCUGGCGUCGCUUUGACAGCAGCGCGAGUAACGCCCGUGCUUUCUACAAUGAACGAGUAGCAGAGAAUACUUUGGUCACUAAAUUAACAUACUAG